ACGACUCUCGACAACGGAUAUCUAGGCUCUCGCAUCGAUGAAGAACGUAGCAAAAUGCGAUACUUGGUGUGAAUUGCAGAAUCCCGUGAAUCAUCGAGUUUUUGAACGCAAGUUGCGCCCGAAGUCAUUAGGCCAAGGGCACGUCUGCCUGGGUGUCAC
RNAcentral lists this ribosomal RNA (159 nucleotides) under Ceropegia linearis subsp. woodii (string of hearts). RNAcentral describes it as "5.8S ribosomal RNA". It matches the Rfam family "5.8S ribosomal RNA". Rfam says of the family: 5.8S ribosomal RNA (5.8S rRNA) is a component of the large subunit of the eukaryotic ribosome. It is transcribed by RNA polymerase I as part of the 45S precursor that also contains 18S and 28S rRNA. Lineage: Eukaryota; Viridiplantae; Streptophyta; Magnoliopsida; Gentianales; Apocynaceae. The record is from RNAcentral.